RNAcentral lists this ribosomal RNA (320 nucleotides) under uncultured eukaryote. RNAcentral's name for it is "partial 18S ribosomal RNA". It matches the Rfam family "Eukaryotic small subunit ribosomal RNA", at positions 1470 to 1796 of the family's 1831-position model. The record is from RNAcentral.
CCCUUAGAUGUUCUGGGCCGCACGCGCGCUACACUGACGAAUGCAACGAGCUUAUAACCUUGGCCGAAAGGUCUGGGUAAUCUCCAAAUUUCGUCGUGAUUGGGAUAGACCUUUGCAAUUAUGGGUCUUCAACGAGGAAUUCCUAGUAAACGCAAGUCAUCAGCUUGCAUUGAUUACGUCCCUGCCCUUUGUACACACCGCCCGUCGCACCUACCGAUUGAAUGGUCCGGUGAAAUCUCGGGACGGCGGCUUGGUCGCUUGCGUCCGACUGCUGAAACUUGAUUAAACCAUAUCAUUUAGAGGAAGGUGAAGUCGUANCA